Chinchilla lanigera (long-tailed chinchilla) is the source of this 439-nucleotide long non-coding RNA. RefSeq lists it as uncharacterized. The transcript has 3 exons. NCBI's taxonomy places the organism in Eukaryota, Metazoa, Chordata, Mammalia, Rodentia, Chinchillidae. The record is from RefSeq and is a predicted model, not a curated record.
AGAUUCUUCUAUGGCUCACAAAAGCUCAGCCUAAAAAGAAGAGAAAUCCCAUAUCCCACUCCGGAGAUUCAGUACUGGGGCCUGGAUGAAAUAUGUUACCAAAUUUAAAGGUCUGAGGGUGAAAUCUAGAUGAGAUGUAAGAAUACAUCCCAGAGAUAAGUCCAGGUUGGCUUCACUCAGGAAGAGUCUCAGGGAAGGGGAAACCCACCACCCUGGAAAGCCGGCCCUGGAAUGCAGCAGGCACAGAGAAGAGGACUACCCUGAAGCACCAAAUCCCAAUGUCUCAAGGGCGGAGAGACAACCAAGACCAAAUGCUUCCCAGGGUGGGUCUGCAGUGCUUAGCAAAACAUGCCUCACAGACAAAACUGCAAUUGAUUAAAAUCGUGUUGUGGGCAGAAAAUUAAACCAAUAAUCAAAGAACCUGAAGGUCUGUAUUUAA